This 73-nucleotide small RNA is filed under the name uncultured Erwinia sp. Its description in RNAcentral is "MicA sRNA". It matches the Rfam family "MicA sRNA". Lineage: Bacteria; Pseudomonadati; Pseudomonadota; Gammaproteobacteria; Enterobacterales; Erwiniaceae. The record is from RNAcentral.
GAAAGACGCGCAUUUGUUAUCAUCAUCCCUGACAACUCGGAGAUGUAAUUUGGCCACAGUGAUGUGGCCUUUU